Molecule: long non-coding RNA, 2194 nt
Organism: Dermacentor albipictus
Lineage: Eukaryota; Metazoa; Arthropoda; Arachnida; Ixodida; Ixodidae
Source: RefSeq, a predicted model, not a curated record
CGCAACUGCCGCCGAGGGGCUCGGGCCAGCCGUUUUGAAGGCAGCGGGUUUUUUCCGGAUUUCACCCAUCAAACCAGUGUCUUAUCACAAGUUUCCCCGAGACAGUUUACUGCUGAAGCGGAUUUUUGCCAUAAGGAGAGACCUAGGCCCUAAUUGUGUAAAUGAGCAAUCAACUAAGGUAUGCUCAAAGCAUUUCAAGCCACAUGAUUUCAUCAGCAAUGUUGUAAGUGGACGACGUUUCCUGAAAAAAAAAAUGCAUUCUAUCCGAAUUUCCAUUUUCAAAACCAGCGACCAAACGGCGGCCCCCAAAGCAGCGGCUACUGCAGUGCAUCAGCAGUGCCUAAAAAAACACAAGCGCAGCAAGGUCCAAAGAAACAUGCGUCAAAGAAAGCAAUCUAGAUGACGAGGCUCUUGCAAACCAACCCUUUCGGCCCUGGUGUCCUAUAAAAAGGACACGAAGAAGAACGGCUAUAAGUCAUGAUUAAACUGCUCAAGAAUCUGAAACAAGAACUGAGCUGACUCCCAGGACAUCCCCAUAAGCAUGGACAUAAGCGCGGGAUGCGCUUGCGUGUAUCGGAAAUUUCUGCAAUGUUUUCGAUGCUUCUAUCCGUUGUCUGUUGUCGCCGAAUCUUGCAUAAUCUUAUUGCAUGUAUGCGCAACGCGAAUGGUGUAGAACUUUGUGGAAGGAACGCGGGUCCCAGCGAUUACUCUGGAACAUUCCACGAUUGAUGUAUAAAAGCCGACAGGCUUGAUCCGCUCAUCAGAUUAUCGCCGAUCGCCGACUGUGUUCACCGCUGUCGCAAUUAUUUGAGUGUAGCAUGUCUUUGAGGGCACAAGUUCGCCCAAUAAAACGCUAGUUUCGUCUUUCCCAGUUUGGAUGUUUUGGCGGAAGUUUGCAAAAUGGUGGAAGGCGGCAACGGCGGCUGCAGUGAGGCCAAAAUUCCGACCGGAUAGUUUUAUUCAACGGCAAAGCGACCUCGAUUAAGACAUCUACGUCUCGGGGAUCCAGAUGUCAUGUUUGCUGCACUAAAGGAUGGUGACGUGUCGGAGGUCGAAGAGGCUGAGGAUGACAUGGAUGACAUGGUUGAGGCUCUUGAACACGUUUGUGACAAUGAGCGUGAUGCACUAGAGGAGCUCUCGGCUGCCUCCAGCGAUGAAGAAGUUGACAAAGAAACACCGGAGGACAGGUCGUGGUCGAGUGCAGCUUUCAAUAAGCUAGCAGCCACGUAUCAACCUCAAUCAUCUGGUGAAGCGAAUGAGAAUGAUCCUGAUGGUCUACCGACCCCGUAUGAGUAUUUUUCUCGGUACGUGCCGAAGAGUGUGUUUGUUGAUCUUGCCGAGAAAACAAACAUGUAUUCUUUCUGCUUCUCAAGAGGGAAAAUCCGUUGAAACAAAAUAAAUCAGAAAGCUGGUUUCACUACAUCUAGCGAUGGGUGUCUUUCGUUACCCACGGCUGCGCAUGUACUGGAAGCCGUCGCUCAAAACUGAGCUUUUCUCAACUGCGAACAUGUCACGAAACGGGUUCGAGAAGCUCAGAAACUGCUUACACAUUGUUGAUGUGAACGGAGACCACAACAGCAAUGAUCGUCUCUGGAAGGUCAGGACACUUUUGGAGACAUUUCGUGAAAGAUGUCUAAACCUGACUUUAGAGGAGCAUAUUUGCAUCGACGAGGAAAUCAUCCCGUUCAAAGGACAGCUUGACAUAAAACAAUACAUCAAAGGGAAACCAAACCCGUGGGGAGUGAAAGUUUUCAUGUUGUGCGGUGCCUCGGGGAUUAUCUAUGACUUCCUCGUUUAUUAAGGUUCAACCAUUGAACUUGUUCCAGCACACGAAAAGGACUUCGGAGUCACCGGAGCAUUUGUCUUCCAUCUUGCGAGGCGAAUACCGGAUGGUAUUGCCACAAACUUUUUUUUUUUACAAUUAUUUUACGUCCUUGACAGUUUUGCGGGUGCUUCGUGACAAAACUACAUAUGCUGCUGGAACAAUCCGAUCAAACCGGACCGAGAAAUGUCCGUUGAAGCCAGAAGGCCAAAUGAAGAAGGAGAGAAGGGGGUCCUCUGACUGCCUGGUAAGCAGCGAUGAGAAAAUCAUCAUCACGAGAUGACUGGACAACAGCGGUGACCCUAGACUAGAGGUGUGCGCCGAGGCAUCGGCGCGCCGCCGCCGCCGACGUUUUCACUCGGCGUGAUCGGC